CUCACUUACAGGACACAUGGGCAGAUGCAGUUCAAAUUUUCAUUGCUUGUUUUCUUACCAAAAUACUCACAAAGCAAUGUGCAACCUGAGGGGUUGGGGCCUCACAGGUCAGAGGACACAGGACUGGAUGUUGUACUGUGUCAUGUAUAUCCACAGCCCAUAUGGUUCCCAGCCACAUAUUCAGCUGUUAUUUAAAACAACAAUUCUACCACCCAGUGGGCCACAACUUAGCCUGAGGUGUAGGUCCUCAGCAUUUUAAAAGGCUGGCCUAACUAUGAGCAGGCUUCAUAGAUCACAUGUAUAGUUAGUCCUGGCUACACAGGAGGACUAGGGGAGAAGGUCAUGAGCCCAGGAGUCCUAAGCCAGUCUGGAUAGCAAAGAGAGAUGCAUUUCUUAAAAAUAAAAAAUGAGGACCUCAGGGCUGGGGAUGUGGCUCAAGUGGUUGCACACUCGCCUGGUAUGCACAGGGCGCUGGGUUCGAUCCUCAACACCACAUAAAAAUAAAAGAUAUUGUGUCCACCUAAAACUAAAAAAUAGAUAUUUAAAUAAAAAUAAGGACCUCAGAAUAUAGCUCAGUGGUAGAGCGCUUGACUAGCAUGUAGAAUUCCUUGGGCUCAGUCCCAAUCAAUGCACACUAAACAAAGGCAUUUUUCAUUUAGAACAAUUUUGUGCCUUGUAUGUAAAGGUGUAAAAAAUAAUGUUGUACAGAAUUUAAAUGUUAAAUAGAUUAAUUUAGAAGAUUCACAGUUAGGAACUUUAUGUCAUGGUGAAGAGCUUGCUCUAUUCAGGGAGAGCGCUCUGAUUUCAAAUCCUGCUUACAACACUAACAAUGUGACCUUGAAAGAGUAACUUUUCUUUCCUUAUACCAAGCUUCCGAGUGUGUCACAUGAGGGAAGAACAUGGCAUUGAAUUGUUUAGAUAUUAAGAUUCUACAUGCACAACAUUUAAUUGUCCCAGUAAACUGGUUUGCCAUUUUUCUACCAUGGAAUUUUUUGCAUAGUGUAAUACAUAAGCAAUUGUUCAUUAUUUGCUUACAUAUAUAAUUCUCUAUAGAAGAAGUUGAUAGUCAAUAGGUUAUAGUUUGUAGAAUUUAUUAAAUUAAAAGUUAGCUCAGAUGUGUCCAAUAGUUUUGGAUGUCGUUUUACAAAAUUAUUCCUGUUGAUUUUCCU
This 1169-nucleotide long non-coding RNA is filed under the name Marmota monax (woodchuck). Lineage: Eukaryota; Metazoa; Chordata; Mammalia; Rodentia; Sciuridae. The record is from RNAcentral.